ACUUAAAUUGAAGAGUUUGAUCAUGGCUCAGAUUGAACGCUGGCGGCAGGCCUAACACAUGCAAGUCGAGCGGUAGCACAGAGAGCUUGCUCUCGGGUGACGAGCGGCGGACGGGUGAGUAAUGUCUGGGAAACUGCCUGAUGGAGGGGGGUAACUACUGGAAACGGUAGCUAAUACCGCAUAACGUCGCAAGACCAAAGUGGGGGACCUUCGGGCCUCAUGCCAUCAGAUGUGCCCAGAU
RNAcentral lists this ribosomal RNA (241 nucleotides) under Klebsiella pneumoniae. RNAcentral describes it as "partial 16S ribosomal RNA". It matches the Rfam family "Bacterial small subunit ribosomal RNA", at positions 1 to 236 of the family's 1533-position model. Lineage: Bacteria; Pseudomonadati; Pseudomonadota; Gammaproteobacteria; Enterobacterales; Enterobacteriaceae. The record is from RNAcentral.